UUUGAGCGAGCCGAGAUUGGACCACUGCACUCCAGCCUGGCGACAGAGCAAGACUCCGUCUCAAAAAAAAAGAAAAGUUAUAAUCCCCUAUUAAGAAGAAAUGCCCUCCCCUCUGAAAAAGGAGGGGAGACCAGCAUCCAUUUGUACAUUUAAAGAUUAAGUAUAAACCAAUCCAAGCCAGUGAGAGAACACAGAAGAAAAAAGUAAACAGGCCCCUACCCCUACCCCCAAAAUAGUUCCCCUUUGAAAGUUCUAAGCAGUGAGUGCCUGGUACCGAGGGCUGCCCUGUUCCUUGGAGGGGUCAGCAAAGCUAUGCUAAACUGACAGGUUCAGUUUACAGCAGGCCAGAACUUUGUUUGGAUAUACUGGCCUUGUUCACCACCAGCUUAACAACAGAUGGCUAGAAAACUUUCAUUAUGUUGCACAGGACUGAACUGCAAACAACCCAGAAAACUGUGAAAAGUUUAACUCCCUCUGAACCAAUGUGCCAAACCAGGGCCUGCCCAGAGCCAGUGAACCAGCUUAGGGCCAAGGGGGCUGUGGAAGUGAUGGUUAAAGUAAGGCUACCCAAGUCAAGGCAAGGCACCUUUCCAGGCUCCAAAACAGCAGCGACCCACCCAAAUCUCUAUUUAACUCUUCAAAGGCCAGGCCAUAUAAGGAGUUGCAUCGACUAUGCCUUCUUUACUUUUCCAAAAUGUACUGUCAGAAUUUCCCUCCCUUUGGAGAAAGAAAAUCUUCCGCCAGACAAGUCCCAAUCCCCAAGCUGCCGUCUUGCCUUCCCUUCUCCUGGAAGUUGGGAGCACAGGACCAAAUAGUCUCACCCUAACACCCAGAGUUAAAUUUGAUUUAUCUAAAUCUGUUUAUAAUUUAAAUAUUCAUUAAAUAGAUUCAAUCACAUGAACCCUAAUAUCUCCUAAUGCUCUGAGACAGGUUAUAAAUGCACCUUCAAAGGUUUAAUUCAAUUGGCAAUCUGAGAAGCCUUAUCACUGGAAAUGUGUUAUUUUCAUAUUAUGCAAGAAAUGAACAAAUGUGUUUUCCACAAAUGUAUUUUAGAAGCCACCCUUUCCUGUUAUUGAAAGAAAAUUGUGUUUAUUACUCCUUUAGCAUAGUGUAAACUCAUAAACGUCAACAGAGAGUACAAGGAAAACUGUCAACUAAAUAUUGUUUCCUUCAUGAGCUGUUCUUCCAAGUCAAUUACGCCUUUCAACUUCUGGGGCAUUGUAUGAUAAACUGGCAGUAAAAAUCAUUCACAUUAAUAUACCAUGGUGCCUUGCCUGCAAAAGGUAAUUAAAGAAGUAAAUGACUCAUAAGAAUAGACAUAUUAGCUGCAAAAUGAAAGGCAACUGAGCUGCCACAUAAAAAUAUGUACCAUUAAGAUACUGCAUUUUCAUAUUCCUGUAAUCAGCUUCAGUAGACUAAUGCUUAUUUAAUCCAGUUCUCUGCUAAGUCCAUCAACAACUGUUUUUUGCUGUUUUCUCCUUGACUGAACAUUAUGAGAGCAGGUUUAGAAUAAAUACUGCAAUGAGAUUUUUGCAUACUCAGUUGAAGAACAGGUUUUUACAUUUUAAAAUCUAUUUUUCUUUCUCUGAGAAAUACAACAUAAAAAAAAAGAUUACUGGUGAAAAAAUACGUAUGUAUAUUGUUAGUAGACGUGUCCCUUUAAAUGGCAGAACAUUUCAGCAAAAUAUUUGUUUCCAUAAUCACUAUUUCUGACCUGUACCACUAUCGGCAUAAGGGUGUCAUGCCUCCACUUGCCAGAUCUCAGCUUCCUUUAUGAAGCACUCCCUUUUGUUAAUAAUGUCUUCCAUUAGCAUUAGCAGGAUGAGGGCAAUUUAUCCUUUGGCAGGGAUGUAAGGAGAAGGCAAGAAAUGAGGAGGGGGUUAGCGUGUGCGGGGUGGGAGAGUAUCUCAGACAUGACUAGCAGCCUCUGAGUCCUUUUCCUUCCAGGGUGUUAGACUGAAUAAACCCUGCUCAAAGAGAAAUGAAUUGACCCUCAAAAUAACUGCUCUAUUUUCCAAUCUCUGGCUUUCAAACUGACAUUUUGCUCACUUCUCCAUAUCCCUUUAUAUUUCAGCACAUCCUCACCAGCCCAGCCAAGCCACAGCAAAACAUCCUUCAUACAGUCUGAGAAUUUUCACUCCACCUGCUCACUUCUCUGCUGUGGGAACCUUGAUCUUAACCAUUUGGGAGUUACAGUUUUCAGAACUCAUGCAGCUCCCCCGAUGUCCAAUGCCAGCAGUGAAAUCAGCCUAGGAUAUUUGGUCUUCUACCAUGUGUGUCAACAAGUCAUCAGCCUUCAAUAACAUCUGAAUACAUCUGGAUGGUGCCCAUUAACUUAAAAAAAAAAAACCCAAAAAAAAAAUCCAAUCUAGUUUUUUUUUUUUUUUUUUUUUGGGUGCAAGACCAUGGGCUU
Cebus imitator (Panamanian white-faced capuchin) is the source of this 2413-nucleotide long non-coding RNA. RefSeq lists it as uncharacterized. The record is from RefSeq and is a predicted model, not a curated record. The transcript is spliced from 2 exons. Lineage: Eukaryota; Metazoa; Chordata; Mammalia; Primates; Cebidae.